Molecule: long non-coding RNA, 2906 nt
Organism: Cervus elaphus (red deer)
Lineage: Eukaryota; Metazoa; Chordata; Mammalia; Artiodactyla; Cervidae
Exons: 6
Source: RefSeq, a predicted model, not a curated record
GGGCCGCGGCGGCGGGCGGAGGCGAGGGCCCGGUGGAGCCCUCGGAGCCAGCCUCGAGGGCGCGGGUGUCCGCGCCGCCGCCUGGCCGCGCCGCCCGGCUCGGGCCGGGUGGGGUGGAGUGGGGUGCGGGCCGUGCACGGCUCUGGUCCCCCCGGCCCGGCGGCUCUCCGUCCACUCCUCGCUCCUCACGCAGCCCCUCCGCACGACCCCGCGCGGAGGCGCCUGGAGAAAGUGAGGAAGAGCAGGCGGAGGGAGUGUGAAGCUCACGCCGGUACAGACCUUCCUGGGGUCACUUUGAGAGGCGGGGAUACAGCCCCGAUGCUGCAAGCCGCUGAGAAUGUGCAGAUGGUUUGAAGACUGUGCCGAGAAGAUGCACCUCUCCUAACUCCUGCGCGCGCCCGAAGUGGCACAAGCGCCUGUGCGCGGGGUGGGGUGUCGGGGCCUCCUGCUCCCACCUGGGUCCUGGGCGGGCUGGGCCCGGACGCCCCUUUCCCUGGCCCCACCUGUGCCCUGGAGCGUAGCUGGGCCCCGCUGGCGCUUUCUGGAGAACAGAGGAAUACCCCAGGUGGAGGAGCGGGGGAGAAGCGGGCAUUGGGAUCAGCGUUCGUUUUAAAUGAAAAAAAAAGAAAAAAAAAAAGAAAAAAUCCUGGGGAGAUUCCCGCAGGAAUCUUUCUCCCGCCCUGGAGAAAGAAUUAGUAGUAGGUUUGCGCGCGUCAAGGGGCUGGAUGAGCUACUUUCCCAGUGUACCUAAAUAGAGGAGCCUCUUCCCUCCCCCCAACUGGACAAAGUCUGAAGUGAUCUGUGCCUUAUCGAGCGCGGUGACGUGACAUUAACUUGAUCCCCCCCAAAUCGGCAUCAGAAGGAAUCUCUACGAAGUUGCAUCACAAAAUGUGCUUUCUGCCCACUUGAGUGUUUAACAAGGGGAGUUCAUUUUCUGGUACAGGGGUUCUGAAGAGGAGAUGAGGCAGUUUUCUCAUUUUGGCAAUGGAGGAACGUUCGCCAUGUUUGGAUUUGCUUCGCUUUUCCAACACAGACUUGGUCAAGUUAAUGGCCUGGAUUUGCUAGUGGAACUAGGUUUUUCCCAAAAGAGGUGACAGAAUAACUGAGAAGAAUCUGCUGGGCUGUGGAAUCCAGUCCUGAGCUCACUAAUCAAGCUAUUGAUUGAGCUGUUUUCUGAAAGUAAACCAUGAAAGCCCUCCUGGAGGCUGCCCAACCAUCUGUGAACUUGAACCUGAGAAAUGGACUUUUUUUUCAUCAGGGUGAUCUCCUUCAGCUGAAUCAUCAGAAGUGGUGAGAAGACCCCUACCCAGCCAAACUGCUUCAGACAAGUUCAAUCCGUCUGUCAAGGAAUGGAGCUGUACAGUGUGGCCAGAUCACCAUUUGCUUGCACCACCACUGAGCUAUCUCUCUAAGGACUGCCACCUACAUAUUAAGUGGCUGGAAGGAGCCUUUCUGUGAAAACGACAUUUCAGCUGGGACCCGAGGAUGAAUUGGAAGGAGUGUGUGAAGUGAGUCCUCCUUGCCAUUUAAAGUACAGGAAAAAGAAUGAAACAUUGCCAUCUGCAGCAGCUUGAAUGGAUCUAGAGAUUAUCAUACUAAGUGAAGGGUACCUGUCUUGGGAGAACCAAAGGAUUGGUUGCAGGAUUUUUUUUUUAAAUGUUAUUUAUUUAUUUAUUGUUGGCUGUGCUGGGUCUUGGUUGCUGCAUAUGGAUUUUCUCUAGUUGCAGAGAGUGGGGGCAACUCUCAAGUUGCAGUGUGUGGGCCUCUCAUUGCCACGGCUUCUCUCGUUCCAGAGCACGGGCUCAAGGACGUGCAGGCUUCAGUAGUUGGAGACAUGGGCUUCGUUGCCCCGCAGCAUGUGGCAUCUUCCCAGACCAGGGAUCAAGCCUGUGUCUCCUGCAUUGGCAGGUGGAUUCUUAACCACUGAACCACCAGAGAAGUCCACAUUUAAUUCUUUAUUCACACUACUGACCAAUCCCUUUUCCUGACACCCUUUCCCUCUUUUCUUGUUUCAGGUAUUCCAGCCUCAACUGCUUUUUCCCUUAUUUAUCUGGAUAUUACUCCUGAGUCUUCACUUUCUCUCUCUGUCUCUUUACAUGGUUUUAUACUCCAGAUUAUAUCCUUGAGCCUCUUCUCUGCUUACUAUACCUAUUGAACAUUUGCAUGUGAAUAUUCACCUUUAUCUCAGUAUACUCCAAACUAAACUUGCCUUCUUCACUCCUGUAUCUCUUCCACCCACCUGUACCUCCUGCCUUGAUAAACAGAACUUCCCUAAACUCACAUUUAGAUCUAGAAGCUUCAUUAGAAUCUUUGUAAGAAUGAUCCACAGAUGGCUCUUAUGUUACCAUAUUGGGGGACAUACAAUAUGUGGUUGUUUCUCUUUUUGUAACGAUAAGAUUUUUCAGUGGCUUAGUGUGUUAUAAUACAAAUUAUCCAUUAACAAACCCCUAUAACCUCUCAUGUAGUGGUUUUGACAGUCAGUGAGUUAUUGACAGUCAUUGCCUAGGUCCAGUAUUAGGGACUUACAUUUCUUACCAGCUUUACUGCAGCAACUUCUUAAGGUUUCCACGCCUUUAAUUUUUUUCCCUUAACUUGACCCUUCUAUAUGCACUACCACUAAAUAGAUUUUUGUGUACCCCAAAUCAUUUUAUAUGAUUUCCCUGCUUAAAAUUCUUUAGUGGAUUCUUAGUGAAUUCAGAAUACAAUCCAAAUUUUAGAGCAAAGAUAUACAAGAAUGUUUAUCAUCUGGUCCCUGCUUUACCUGACUGUUACUUACUUUCUAUUUUGGCUCAGUUGGUAAAGAAUUCACCUGCAAUGGAGGAGACCCUGGUUCAAUUCCUGGGUUGGGAAGAUCUGCUGGAGAAGUGAUAGGCUACCUACUCCAGUACUCUUGGGCUUCCCUUUUG